CAGCAGCCGCGGGAAAACGAAGGGGGCUAGCGUUGUUCGGAUUUACUGGGCGUAAAGCGCACGUAGGCGGACUUUUAAGUCAGGGGUGAAAUCCCGGGGCUCAACCCCGGAACUGCCUUUGAUACUGGAAGUCUUGAGUAUGGUAGAGGUGAGUGGAAUUCCGAGUGUAGAGGUGAAAUUCGUAGAUAUUCGGAGGAACACCAGUGGCGAAGGCGGCUCACUGGACCAUUACUGACGCUGAGGUGCGAAAGCGUGGGGAGCAAACAGGAUUAGAUACCCCCGUAGUCCCUGUCUCUUAUAC
This 301-nucleotide ribosomal RNA is filed under the name uncultured bacterium. Its description in RNAcentral is "partial 16S ribosomal RNA". It matches the Rfam family "Bacterial small subunit ribosomal RNA", at positions 509 to 807 of the family's 1533-position model. The record is from RNAcentral.